UUCGCAAUGCCCGAAAGGGUGACGAAGCAACGCCGCGUGUGGGAAGAAGGCCUUCGGGUUGUAAACCACUGUCGGGAGUUAAGAAAUGCAAGAAUGUUAAUAGCGUUUUUGCUUGACUAAGGCUCCGGAGGAAGCCACGGCUAACUCUGUGCCAGCAGCCGCGGUAAUACAGAGGCGGCAAGCGUUGUUCGGAAUUAUUGGGCGUAAGGAGCACGUAGGCGGCUAUAUAAGUCGGUUGUGAAAGCCUUCCGCUCAACGGGAGAACAGCAUCCGAUACUGUGUGGCUUGAGUGUGGGAGGGGAGAGCGGAACUUCUGGUGGAGCGGUGAAAUGCGUAGAUAUCAGAAGGAACGCCGGCGGCGAAAGCGGCUCUCUGGCCCAUAACUGACGCUGAGUGUGCGAAAGCUAGGGGAGCAAACGGGAUUAGUUACCCCGGUAGUCCUAGCCGUAAACGAUGGGCACUAAGUAGAGGGGUU
Molecule: ribosomal RNA, 475 nt
Filed under: uncultured bacterium
Lineage: Bacteria
Description: bacterial SSU rRNA
Rfam family: Bacterial small subunit ribosomal RNA
Source: RNAcentral